Molecule: ribosomal RNA, 485 nt
Filed under: uncultured bacterium
Lineage: Bacteria
Description: SSU rRNA
Rfam family: Bacterial small subunit ribosomal RNA
Source: RNAcentral
AGGACGAACGCUGGCGGCGUGCUUAACACAUGCAAGUCGAACGGAAAGGCUCCAGCUUGCUGGAGUACUCGAGUGGCGAACGGGUGAGUAACACGUGGGUAAUCUGCCCUGCACUCUGGGAUAAGCCUGGGAAACUGGGUCUAAUACUGGAUAUGACCUUUCUCCUUAUGGGGUUUGGUGGAAAGUUUUUCGGUGUAGGAUGAGCCCGCGGCCUAUCAGCUUGUUGGUGGGGUGAUGGCCUACCAAGGCGACGACGGGUAGCCGGCCUGAGAGGGUGAUCGGCCACAUUGGGACUGAGAUACGGCCCAGACUCCUACGGGAGGCAGCAGUGGGGGAAUAUUGCACAAUGGGCGGAAGCCUGAUGCAGCGACGCCGCGUGAGGGAUGACGGCCUUCGGGUUGUAAACCGUCUUUCAGCAGGGACGAAGCGAAAGUGACGGUACCUGCAGAAGAAGCACCGGCUAACUACGCGCCAGCAGCCGCGGU